GGAAAAGAGUCUUAGCUCUACCUUAAUUUUUUUAUUGCACCAAACAAAACACUAGAUUUAAGAGCUAUUCAAAUAAGGCACAGCUUAUUUGAAAUGGGAUACAACCCCUAAUACUGGGUUAAUCUAGAUAUAUUAAAUAAAGUGGGCCUAAAAGCAGCCAUCUUCUAAAAAGCGUUAAAGCUUAACAUAUUAUUAUCUACAAUUCCACAAUUUUUACUUAACCCUUCAUCACUACUGAACUAUUUUAUACCCCUAUAAAAGUCAUUAUGCUAGAACUAGUAACAAGAAAUUGCCCUUCUCCAAAAUGUAUGUUUAAACCAAAAUGGACCCUCCACUGGUAGUUAACGUAAAUGUAAAAAUCAUAGUACCACACAACUAGAAAACCCUAUGACCUCCCCAACGUCAACCUUACACUAGAACAUUACAGGAAAGAUUAAAAGAGAAAGAAGGAACUCGGCAAACCACAGUCCCGCCUGUUUACCAAAAACACCGCCUCUUGCCCAAAUAUAAGAGGUCCAGCCUGCCCAGUGACAUAGUUUAACGGCCGCGGUACCCUAACCGUGCGAAGGUAGCAUAAUCACUUGUUCUUUAAAUAAGGACUCGUAUCAACGGCAUCACGAGGGCUGUACUGUCUCCUUUCUCCAAUCAGUGAAACUGAUCUCCCCGUGAAGAAGCGGGGAUUGACCUAUAAGACGAGAAGACCCCAUGGAGCUUUAAACCCAACACACACCCCUACGCACCCAAACCAAUACAGCCCAAGAGACUUGUGUGUUGGUUUUAGGUUGGGGGGACCGCGGAGUAAAAUCAAACCUCCAUGACAGACGGGCUAAUACCCUUAUCCAUGAACCACAAUUCUAAGAGCCAAUAAAUUGUUGUCUAAUGACCCAAUUACUUGAUCAACGAACCAAGUUACCCUGGGGAUAACAGCGCAAUCUACUUCAAGAGCCCCUAUCGACAAGUAGGUUUACGACCUCGAUGUUGGAUCAGGGUAUCCUAGUGGUGCAGCCGCUACUAAAGGUUCGUUUGUUCAACGAUUAAAACCCUACGUGAUCUG
RNAcentral lists this ribosomal RNA (1054 nucleotides) under Amolops loloensis (rufous-spotted torrent frog). Its description in RNAcentral is "partial large subunit ribosomal RNA". It matches the Rfam family "Bacterial large subunit ribosomal RNA", at positions 860 to 2607 of the family's 2925-position model. The record is from RNAcentral. Lineage: Eukaryota; Metazoa; Chordata; Amphibia; Anura; Ranidae.